CCGACUGACAACUACGUCGACAUGAAGGCUUCACUUGUGAUGCGCGCCGCUCUGUCGGUGGUGGUGAUGCUGGCGGUGGUGUCCAUGGUGGCGGCCCACCCUGAGCCUGGGUAUGGCAGGGGUCAUGGUGGCUAUGGGCAUGGUGGCCACGGCGGAGGUCAUGGUGGAUAUGGCUAUGGUGGCUACGGCUAUGGCGGAGGAUACGGCGGCUACGGAUAUGGACAUGGUCGCUAAAGCUAACUGAAGAGGAUGAUUGUGGCCGAAUAAAGCUAUGGAACUUUGUCCAAUAAGGGAAAGAUAUCGAAAAAA
Long non-coding RNA from Penaeus vannamei (Pacific white shrimp), 309 nucleotides. RefSeq lists it as uncharacterized. The record is from RefSeq and is a predicted model, not a curated record. Lineage: Eukaryota; Metazoa; Arthropoda; Malacostraca; Decapoda; Penaeidae.